Long non-coding RNA from Passer montanus (Eurasian tree sparrow), 322 nucleotides. RefSeq lists it as uncharacterized. The transcript is spliced from 3 exons. Lineage: Eukaryota; Metazoa; Chordata; Aves; Passeriformes; Passeridae. The record is from RefSeq and is a predicted model, not a curated record.
GAGGACUGAGCAGCUGAGAGAGCCCAGAGUUCAUCCUGGGGGCUGGGAUCUCCUGCAGCAGCAGCAGGCUACCUGCUUGCCUCCAUUUGAUGCAUCUCAAAGGACAGCUGGCCUCUGAGAGGAGGAGGACUGACCUGCCCCUGAAACCCACAGCACACCUGGCACACCACCCAAGACUGGCAGAGACCUUGCAAAAAACAAGGUGUCUGAACUGACUGCACACUGGGAUGUUGUCAGCCCCAAGCUGCAGAAACAACCCACACCCAAAUUCUGACAUCAGCACUGAAAGGGCAGAUGUCCCUGCAGCACGCUGCACAAAGAC